GUCUACAACCAUACCACCCUGAAAGUGUUCCAAUCCUAUCUGAUCUUGGAAGCUAAGCAAGGUCAGGCCCGGUUAGUAUUUAGAUGGGAGAGUAAUACAUACUAAGAGACUAUUUAAGUCCAUCUAUUUAAGACC
Molecule: ribosomal RNA, 135 nt
Organism: Vulpes vulpes (red fox)
Lineage: Eukaryota; Metazoa; Chordata; Mammalia; Carnivora; Canidae
Source: Ensembl